Molecule: ribosomal RNA, 468 nt
Filed under: uncultured bacterium
Lineage: Bacteria
Description: partial 16S ribosomal RNA
Rfam family: Bacterial small subunit ribosomal RNA
Source: RNAcentral
GACGAACGCUGGCGGCGUGCUUAACACAUGCAAGUCGAACGGUGAAGCUCCAGCUUGCUGGAGUGGAUCAGUGGCGAACGGGUGAGUAACACGUGAGCAACCUGCCCCUGACUCUGGAAUAAGCGCUGGAAACGGCGUCUAAUACUGGAUACGAGAAGGGUCCGCAUGGGCACUUUCUGGAAAGUUUUUCGGUUGGGGAUGGGCUCGCGGCCUAUCAGCUUGUUGGUGAGGUAAUGGCUCACCAAGGCGACGACGGGUAGCCGGCCUGAGAGGGCGACCGGCCACACUGGGACUGAGACACGGCCCAGACUCCUACGGGAGGCAGCAGUGGGGAAUAUAGCACAAUGGGCGAAAGCCUGAUGCAGCGACGCCGCGUGAGGGAUGACGGCCUUCGGGUUGUAAACCUCUUUCAGCAGGGAAGAAGCGAAAGUGACGGUACCUGCAGAAGAAGCACCGGCUAACUACGUG